CCUUCUGAUAAUUAGCACACUUGGCUACAAACUUUGCAAUAUUCUUUUUCAUACCGCUCAAUCAAUAUAUUUCCCGCAAAUUACAGUACUUAUUAGCAUCUCCUGGGUAAAUAGAGUAACGCACACCAUGCGCUUCUGGAAGAAUUCAGUGUCUCAAACCAUCUACACCUGGUACACAUAGUCUAUCUUAUCAAUGCAACACACC
Molecule: long non-coding RNA, 205 nt
Filed under: Capsicum annuum
Lineage: Eukaryota; Viridiplantae; Streptophyta; Magnoliopsida; Solanales; Solanaceae
Description: long non-coding RNA (CANN_LNC009680)
Source: RNAcentral